Molecule: long non-coding RNA, 146 nt
Organism: Cyprinus carpio (common carp)
Lineage: Eukaryota; Metazoa; Chordata; Actinopteri; Cypriniformes; Cyprinidae
Source: Ensembl
GGAAGCAGUGGUGCAGACCUCGGAAUGGACCCAUGGAACAGCUAAAGGGCUGACUGCAGCCUGCCAUCUGUGCACAACCAGAAGCAUGAGCUCUCCAGAGAUCAGAGUGAGACGGUGGAAACCGCUGCAGCAGUAGCAGGAUCGCA